This 272-nucleotide unclassified non-coding RNA is filed under the name uncultured fungus. RNAcentral's name for it is "partial contains 18S rRNA, ITS1, 5.8S rRNA, ITS2 and 28S rRNA". Lineage: Eukaryota; Fungi. The record is from RNAcentral.
AAGGAUCAUUAUUGAAUGAACUUGGUGUGGUUGUUGCUGGCUCUCUCGGGGGCAUGUGCACACCCACCAUCCUCAUAUCUCCACCUGUGCACUUCUUGUAGACCUGGAUACACUUUCCGAGGCAACUCGGUCUGGAGGAAUGCUGUGCAAGCUUUCUUUGUAUUUCCUGGCCUACGUUUUUCAUAUACCCCAUAGCAUGUAACAGAAUGUAUCAUUGGGCCUUUGUGCCUAUAAACCUUAUACAACUUUCAGCAACGGAUCUCUUGGCUCUC